GAUGAAGAACGUAGCAAAAUGCGAUACUUGGUGUGAAUUGCAGAAUCCCGUGAACCAUCGAGUUUUUGAACGCAAGUUGCGCCCGAAGCCUUUUGGCCGAGGCACGUCUGCCUGGGCGUCACGCAUCGCGUCGCCCCCCACAAAUUCUCCGUCAGGGGAGCUUGUGUUUCGGGGGCGGAUACUGGUCUCCCGUGCUCAUGGCGCGGUUGGCCGAAAUAGGAGUCCCUUCGAUGGACGCACGAACUAGUGGUGGUCGUAAAAACCCUCGUCUUUUGUUUCGUGCCGUUAGUCGCGAGGGAAGCUCUUCAAAAACCCCAGCGCGUCGUCUCUUGACGGCGCUUCGACCGCGACCCCAGGUCAGGCGGGACUACCCGCUGAGUUUAAGCAUAUCAUAAGCGGAGGA
Molecule: unclassified non-coding RNA, 403 nt
Filed under: soil metagenome
Description: partial contains 5.8S ribosomal RNA, internal transcribed spacer 2, and large subunit ribosomal RNA
Rfam family: 5.8S ribosomal RNA (bases 1-121)
Source: RNAcentral